CGUCCUUCCUGUCCGCGGCGACCACUGCACACGCGCCUCCUUGUGGGAGUCUCGUUUAGGCUGUGAUUCUAGGAAACUGAGUUUCCUAAAGGUGCUCAUGCAGAUCCCUGCAUCCUAUGUCUGCUGUGAAAAUCACUCCGCAAGCUCAGAAGCAACUCAACGUUUAUGAAGAUGGGAAGCAGAACUUGGCAUCCAAGAAGACAGCCGUUGGCUGUUAGCUAACAACUAGUGUCUAGUCUGUUCCUUUCGGUUGACACACUGUUUAAUUUUAUAUAUAUAUUUGAAAUUAAAUAGUACAAUUGUCUCUUUUUAAUGAGCACUCAAAGAAACUGCGUUUCACAGGCCUUUGGAAGAGAUGUUCCCGGUAGGCUGUAAGAGCACUGUGCAAAGCGAGUUGUUUCUUAGCUUCCCAAAGAGCUGGAAGCAAGAUGCUGUGGGGCCCAACUCGCCCUUUGGAAAGAAGCCUGCACGUUGUGCCUUUCAGCUCUAGGGCAAUGUAGCACACCCAGAGCAGAAGUCCUACUUCAGCCAGAUCAGGCCUGCAAAGAAACUGCGUUUCACAGGCCUUUGGAAGAGAUGUUCCCGGUAGGCUGUAAGAGCACUGUGCAGAGCGAGUGGUUUCUUAGCUUCCCAAAGAGCUGGAAGCAAGAUGCUGUGGGGCCCAACUCGCCCUUUGGAAAGAAGCCUGCACGUUGUGCCUUUCAGCUCUAGGGCAAAGUAGCACACCCAGAGCAGAAGUCCUACUUCAGCCAGAUCAGGCCUGCAAAGAAACUGCGUUUCACAGGCCUUUGGAAGAGAUGUUCCCACUAGGCUGUAAGAGCACUGUGCAGAGCGAGUUGUUUCUUAGCUUCCCAAAGAGCUGGAAGCAAGAUGCUGUGGGGCCCAACUCGCCCUUUGGAAAGAAGCCUGCACGUUGUGCCUUUCAGCUCUAGGGCAAAGUAGCACACCCAGAGCAGAAGUCCUACUUCAGCCAGAUCAGGCCUGCAAAGAAACUGCGUUUCACAGGCCUUUGGAAGAGAUGUUCCCGGUAGGCUGUAAGAGCACUGUACAGAGCGAGUUGUUUCUUAGGUUCCCAAAGAGCUGAAAGCAAGAUGCUGUGGGGCCCAACUCGCCCUUUGGAAAGAAGCCUGCACGUUGUGCCUUUCAGCUCUAGGGCAAUGUAGCACACCCAGAGCAGAAGUCCUACUUCAGCCAGAUCAGGCCUGCAAAGAAUCUGCGUUUCACAGGCCUUUGGAAGAGAUGUUCCCGGUAGGCUGUAAGAGCACUGUGCAGAGCGAGACCGGAAGAGCAUUUGGGGAAGAAGGAUCAGUUCCGGCAAAGGUCCUGGGUCAGGAUGGAACGAGUAUAACAGAGGUCAAAGAAAUGGCAGAAGGUCAGUGUGACUGGAAGCUCAAGGCAGGGGAGGACCAGGAGAAGCAGGACCAGGCAGGCGGGCAAGGCCCGGGCCUAGGAGCGCUUGCUUAAGAACUCACAGGGCGGACACCACCAAAAAGAGGGGUACAUUCCGCCACGUUGAAACUACAGGCACCUUUAAAAGAGUGAAAAAGCAAGCUGCAAACUGGGAGACAACAUAGCAAAGGAGGAAAAUUAUAUAUUUAUAUAUAUGCAAAUAUAUGUAUACACACUCAUACAUAUAUUAUAUCGCAUAUUAAUUGUAUGUCAUUUGUGUUAUUAUAUAGUAUAACUAUGUAUGUUAUAUAUGUUUUAACUACAUAUCAAUAAGAAAAAGAGAAACAACACAAUAGAAAAAAAUCUUUGAAAAAUAAGGACAGAAAUUUCACAAAAGAUACAACACAAAAGUCUAACACAUUUAGAAAAAGAUCUCGCCCUGACUAGUGCUGACGAACUGGAAAUCAAAACCACAAUAUCAUUUUACUCCCCUUUGAUUGGCAAACGUCAAGAAAUCCGACAACUCGAAGUGUCCGAGUGGAUCUGGGUCAAUGGGACAUCAUCUACGUUGCUGGCAGGAGUGCAAGUUGACACAACCACUUUUGAAUGUUUGGUGUUACCUUGUCAAGUAGAAAACGUGUGCUUCAUCACCCAGCAAUCCCAUCCCUAUGUACGCACUGAUACAGUCAUACCGGUUGUUAAAAUGUCG
This is a long non-coding RNA of Equus caballus (horse), 2098 nucleotides long. Lineage: Eukaryota; Metazoa; Chordata; Mammalia; Perissodactyla; Equidae. The record is from Ensembl.